AGAAGAAGGACUGCUAAUACCGAAUAAGUUCCAAGAGCCGCAUGGCCCAUGGAAGAAAAGGUGGCCUCUACCUGUAAGCUAUCGCCUGAAGAGGGGUUUGCGUCUGAUUAGCUGGUUGGAGGGGUAACGGCCCACCAAGGCGACGAUCAGUAGCCGGUCUGAGAGGAUGAACGGCCACACUGGAACUGAGACACGGUCCAGACUCCUACGGGAGGCAGCAUG
RNAcentral lists this ribosomal RNA (222 nucleotides) under uncultured bacterium. Its description in RNAcentral is "partial 16S ribosomal RNA". It matches the Rfam family "Bacterial small subunit ribosomal RNA", at positions 148 to 353 of the family's 1533-position model. The record is from RNAcentral.